AUUUAAAAUUCCGGUGGUACGGGACGGGCACGCGCGACAUUAGGUAGUUGGCGGGGUAAGGGCCCACCAAGCCGACGAUGUCUAGGGGUUCUGAGAGGAAGGUCCCCCACACUGGAACUGAGACACGGUCCAGACUCCUACGGGAGGCAGCAGUGAGGAAUAUUGGUCAAUGGGCGAGAGCCUGAACCAGCCAAGUCGCGUGAGGGAAGAAUGGUCUAUGGCCUGUAAACCUCUUUUGUCAAGGAAGAAUAAGGAUGACGAGUCAUUCGAUGCCAGUACUUGACGAAUAAGCAUCGGCUAACUCCGUGCCAGCAGCCGCGGUAAUACGGGGGAUGCGAGCGUUAUCCGGAUUUAUUGGGUUUAAAGGGCGCGUAGGCGGGACGGCAAGUCAGCGGUAAAAGACUGCAGCUAAACUGUAGCACGCCGUUGAAACUGUUGACCUGGAGACGAGACGAGGGAGGCGGAACAAGUGAAGUAGCGGUGAAAUGCAUAGAUAUCACUUGGAACCCCGAUAGCGAAGGCAGCUUCCCAGGCUCGUUCUGACGCUGAUGCGCGAGAGCGUGGGUAGCGAACAGGAUUAGAUACCCUGGUAGUCCACGCCGUAAACGAUGCUCACUGGAUCUUGGCGAUACACGGCCAGGGUUCAAGCGAAAGUAUUAAGUGAGCCACCUGGGGAGUACGUCGGCAACGAUGAAACUCAAAGGAAUUGACGGGGGCCCGCACAAGCGGAGGAACAUGUGGUUUAAUUCGAUGAUACGCGAGGAACCUUACCCGGGUUUAAAUGUAGAUUGCAUGAGGUGGAAACACUUCUUCCCUUCGGGGCUAUUUACAAGGUGCUGCAUGGUUGUCGUCAGCUCGUGCCGUGAGGUGUCGGGUUAAGUCCCAUAACGAGCGCAACCCCUAUCGCCAGUUGCCAUCGGUUCAAGCCGGGCACUCUGUCGAGACUGCCACCGUAAGGUGCGAGGAAGGCGGGGAUGACGUCAAAUCAGCACGGCCCUUACACCCGGGGCGACACACGUGUUACAAUGGCCGGUACAGAGGGCAGCCACGGGGUGACCCGGAGCGAAUCUCUAAAGCCGGUCGUAGUUCGGACUGGAGUCUGCAACCCGACUCCACGAAGUUGGAUUCGCUAGUAAUCGCGCAUCAGCCAUGGCGCG
Molecule: ribosomal RNA, 1157 nt
Filed under: human gut metagenome
Description: bacterial SSU rRNA
Rfam family: Bacterial small subunit ribosomal RNA
Source: RNAcentral